AUUGAACGCUGGCGGCAUGCUUUACACAUGCAAGUCGAACGGCAGCGCGGGCUUCGGCCUGGCUGCGCGUGGCGCACGGGUGAGUAAUACAUUUGAACGUGCCCCGUAGUGGUGGAUAGCUCCUCGAAAGCCGGAUUACUACCGCCUACGACCUGCGGGUGAAAGCGGGGGAUCUUCGGACCUCUCGCUCUUGUGGCGGCCGAUGGCCGAUUAGCUAGUUUGUGGGGUAAAGGCCUACUAAGGCGACGAUCGGUAGCUGGUCUGAGAGGACGACUAGCCACACUGGGAGGGAGACACGGCCAAGACGCCUACGGGAGGCAGCAGUGGGGAAUGGUGGACAAUGGGGGAAAGCAUGAUCCAGCAAGGCCGAGUGUGUGAUGAAGGCCUUCGGGUUGGAAAGAACUUUUGGCGGGAACGAAAAGGACUGGGCUAAUACGACGGUUCGAUGACGGUACCCGCAGAAGAAGCACCGGCUAACUACGUG
This 484-nucleotide ribosomal RNA is filed under the name uncultured bacterium. RNAcentral describes it as "partial 16S ribosomal RNA". It matches the Rfam family "Bacterial small subunit ribosomal RNA", at positions 28 to 507 of the family's 1533-position model. The record is from RNAcentral.